AGUUGGUGGAGUGAUUUGUCUGGUUAAUUCCGUUAACGAACGAGACCCCUGCCUGCUAAAUAGUUCCGCGGAUGAGUCUUCAUCGGCGAGAGCUUCUUAGAGGGACGACCGUCUACUAGACGGAGGAAGAGAGGGGCAAUAACAGGU
This 147-nucleotide ribosomal RNA is filed under the name Ochrophyta sp. RNAcentral describes it as "partial small subunit ribosomal RNA". It matches the Rfam family "Eukaryotic small subunit ribosomal RNA", at positions 1296 to 1461 of the family's 1831-position model. The record is from RNAcentral.